Molecule: ribosomal RNA, 727 nt
Filed under: uncultured Bacteroidales bacterium
Lineage: Bacteria; Pseudomonadati; Bacteroidota; Bacteroidia; Bacteroidales
Description: bacterial SSU rRNA
Rfam family: Bacterial small subunit ribosomal RNA
Source: RNAcentral
GCUACAGGCUUAACACAUGCAAGUCGAGGGGCAGCAUUUUAGUUUGCUUGCAAACUGAAGAUGGCGACCGGCGCACGGGUGAGUAACACGUAUCCAACCUGCCGAUAACUCCGGAAUAGCCUUUCGAAAGAAAGAUUAAUACCGGAUAGUAUACGAAUAUCGCAUGAUAUUUUUAUUAAAGAAUUUCGGUUAUCGAUGGGGAUGCGUUCCAUUAGUUUGUUGGCGGGGUAACGGCCCACCAAGACUACGAUGGAUAGGGGUUCUGAGAGGAAGGUCCCCCACAUUGGAACUGAGACACGGUCCAAACUCCUACGGGAGGCAGCAGUGAGGAAUAUUGGUCAAUGGGCGAGAGCCUGAACCAGCCAAGUAGCGUGAAGGAUGAAGGCUCUAUGGGUCGUAAACUUCUUUUAUAUGGGAAUAAAGUUUUCCACGUGUGGAAUUUUGUAUGUACCAUAUGAAUAAGGAUCGGCUAACUCCGUGCCAGCAGCCGCGGUAAUACGGAGGAUCCGAGCGUUAUCCGGAUUUAUUGGGUUUAAAGGGAGCGUAGGUGGAUUGUUAAGUCAGUUGUGAAAGUUUGCGGCUCAACCGUAAAAUUGCAGUUGAAACUGGCAGUCUUGAGUACAGUAGAGGUGGGCGGAAUUCGUGGUGUAGCGGUGAAAUGCUUAGAUAUCACGAAGAACUCCGAUUGCGAAGGCAGCUCACUAGACUGUCACUGACACUGAUGCUC